RNAcentral lists this ribosomal RNA (428 nucleotides) under uncultured prokaryote. RNAcentral describes it as "bacterial SSU rRNA". It matches the Rfam family "Bacterial small subunit ribosomal RNA", at positions 355 to 774 of the family's 1533-position model. The record is from RNAcentral.
UGAGGAAUUUUGCGCAAUGGGGGAAACCCUGACGCAGCAACGCCGCGUGAGUGAUGAAGGCCUUCGGGUCGUAAAGCUCUGUCAGGCGGGAAGAAAGUGUUCCGUAAUAAUAUUACGGGAUAUUGACGGUACCGCCGAAGGAAGCACCGGCUAACUCCGUGCCAGCAGCCGCGGUAAUACGGAGGGUGCAAGCGUUAUUCGGAUUUAUUGGGCGUAAAGGGCGCGCAGGCGGCCCGUUAAGUCAGAUGUGAAAGCCCCCGGCUUAACCGGGGAAGUGCAUUUGAAACUGGCAGGCUUGAGUAUGGGAGAGGAAAUCGGAAUUCCUGGUGUAGCGGUGAAAUGCGUAGAUAUCAGGAGGAACACCGGUGGCGAAAGCGGAUUUCCGGACCAAUACUGACGCUGAGGCGCGAAGGUGCGGGGAGCAAACA